Molecule: long non-coding RNA, 1011 nt
Organism: Beta vulgaris subsp. vulgaris (sugar beet)
Lineage: Eukaryota; Viridiplantae; Streptophyta; Magnoliopsida; Caryophyllales; Amaranthaceae
Exons: 2
Source: RefSeq, a predicted model, not a curated record
AAGCAGAAAGCCCAGAAUUUAUGAUGUUGGAACAAGGGACUCUGUCUGUUGAGGAGUACUACCGGAAAUUCAUCGAGCUGAUGAGAUUUGCCCCGGAAAUAGCACCUACUGAGGAAUCUAAAGCCUCACGUUUCGAACUAGGACUUACCCUUGACCUGCAAGGAAGACUAGGGGGAGAUACAUUCACCUCUUUAGAUCAUGUGUUUGGCAAAGCUGCUCAUCUUUAUGCCAUCAGGAAGAGAGAGGAAGGGGUAAGCAGGGUGAGAAACGAAAGGAUAAUCCAAACCCUGAGGUCCAGAAGUUUGAGAAGAAGCAUAAUGGGAACCAAAACCAUCAAGACCCUCAAAGGAAUUUCGGUAAGGGACCCAAUAACAACAACGCUAAUCCCAACAACACCAAUAACCGCAGAUCUGAGCGUGUGUAUAGGUGUAGAAAGUGCCCUAACAACCAUCCUGGUAGAGACUGUGAGGGUAACAAGGUGGAAUGUCGAGAAUGCGGGAAAUUGGGGCAUAGGGCAUAUGAGUGCUACUCGAAGAACAAACUGAUCAACCCUAAUGGCCAAAAGAAUGGGAAUUAUGGGGACAAGCCCCGAAAUGGAAAUGGAAACGGGAAUGGAAAUGGGGGAAGUGCUUACAAUGGGAAUUCUAACUACUCCAAGCCUUAACCAACACCAAUAAUCAGACAUCUAAUGGGAACAAUGCAACCAAUUCCCAAGAUAAGGGCAAGGGGAAGCUGUAUAUGAUGUCGACUAGAGAACAAGAGGCUCGAAGGGAUGUUGUCUCGGACUAGGUGUGCUGGUGCUGCUGCAUAAUCUCGAGCAUACGGGGACUAGGCUUGGGUAUUUACAUUAAAGCAUUUUGAAAUAAGUAUUAUUGGUUUUUCUAAGACUUAUAUAUGGCUUGUGGUUUGAAUGAAAGGGGUCAUUGAUGAUUCCCGAGUUGUAUUUAUAUUUUAAUUCCGCUGCAUUUUAGUUUUCAAGUUAAUGUUUUAAGUUAUCGUUAACCCUUAUUA